UCCAGCUGUGUCCCCUCCCAUCUCCUUGUGCCCCCCAGCCUUCUCAGUGGUGUGGUGUGAGAAGCUGAAAAGUCCUUGACUCAGAGGAGAGCACCUCCGCAGCUUUGAUACAGCUCAUCAUCAAACCAAGCUGGAAUUGACACCAUUGAAGUUCAAGAGAAUCUUCCUUAUUGUUUCCCAAUAGUUUUAUGGUUAUCAAAGGCUUAAAAGCAGGACAAAAGCAAGAAGUCAGCCAAGUUUAUUCCAGUUUCCUGAAUAACUCUGCAUUUUGGAGCUCUAAAGUCCUGUGCCCAGCAUAGGAUGAUGUGCACGUCUGAGAUGUAAACAAAAAUGAAUGAUUAAAACAGAAACAUGCCAUUUU
Long non-coding RNA from Vidua chalybeata, 361 nucleotides. RefSeq lists it as uncharacterized. The record is from RefSeq and is a predicted model, not a curated record. Lineage: Eukaryota; Metazoa; Chordata; Aves; Passeriformes; Viduidae. The transcript is spliced from 3 exons.